GAUGAACGCUGGCGGCGUGCCUAAUACAUGCAAGUCGAGCGAACGGACGAGAAGCUUGCUUUUCUGAUGUUAGCGGCGGACGGGUGAGUAACACGUGGAUAACCUACCUAUAAGACUGGGAUAACUUCGGGAAACCGGAGCUAAUACCGGAUAAUAUUUUGAACCGCAUGGUUCAAAAGUGAAAGGCGGUCUUGCUGUCACUUAUCGAUGGAUCCGCGCUGCAUUAGCUAGUUGGUAAGGUAACGGCUUACCAAGGCAACGAUGCAUAGCCGACCUGAGAGGGUGAUCGGCCACACUGGAACUGAGACACGGUCCAGACUCCUACGGGAGGCAGCAGUAGGGAAUCUUCCGCAAUGGGCGAAAGCCUGACGGAGCAGCGCCGCGUGAGUGCUGAAGGUCUUCGGAUCGUAAAACUGUGUUAUUAGGGAAGAACAUAUGUGUAAGUAACUGUGCACAUCUUGACGGUACCUAAUCAGAAAGCCACGGCUAACUACGUG
RNAcentral lists this ribosomal RNA (497 nucleotides) under uncultured bacterium. RNAcentral describes it as "partial 16S ribosomal RNA". It matches the Rfam family "Bacterial small subunit ribosomal RNA", at positions 28 to 507 of the family's 1533-position model. The record is from RNAcentral.